This 258-nucleotide unclassified non-coding RNA is filed under the name uncultured bacterium. RNAcentral describes it as "contains 16S-23S intergenic spacer region". It matches the Rfam family "Bacterial small subunit ribosomal RNA", at positions 524 to 776 of the family's 1533-position model. The record is from RNAcentral.
AACGGGGGGGGCUGGCGUUGCUCAACUUUACUGGGCGUAAAGGGCCUCUAGGCGGCUUCUUCAGUGGAAUGCUUAAAUGCCCAAAGCUCAACUUUGGGAUUGGUUUCCAUACGGAGUUUGGCUUGAGUUUGGUAGAGGAUGGCAGUAUUUCCGGUGUAGAGGUAAAAUUCGGCGAUACCGGAAGGACUCUCGCCUUGCGAAGGCGGCCAUCUGGGCCAAUACUGACGCUGAAGGGCGAAAGCGUGGGGAGCAAACAGG